This 98-nucleotide ribosomal RNA is filed under the name Olea europaea subsp. europaea. Its description in RNAcentral is "PK-G12rRNA". The record is from RNAcentral. Lineage: Eukaryota; Viridiplantae; Streptophyta; Magnoliopsida; Lamiales; Oleaceae.
UCCACAAUUCCCACUAGAGAUUGGCCCUCGAGUGCAAAGGCAGAAUGGAGAUUGACUACAAGACCCACCCAUCAAAUAAGACGAAAGUCAGUCUUAGU